This 540-nucleotide ribosomal RNA is filed under the name uncultured bacterium. RNAcentral's name for it is "partial 16S ribosomal RNA". It matches the Rfam family "Bacterial small subunit ribosomal RNA", at positions 355 to 899 of the family's 1533-position model. The record is from RNAcentral.
UGGGGAAUAUUGCACAAUGGGCGCAAGCCUGAUGCAGCAACGCCGCGUGAGGGACGACGGCCUUCGGGUUGUAAACCUCUUUUAGUAGGGAAGAAGCGAAAGUGACGGUACCUGCAGAAAAACGCACCGGCUAACUACGUGCCAGCAGCCGCGGUAAUACGUAGGGUGCGAGCGUUGUCCGGAAUUAUUGGGCGUAAAGAGCUCGUAGGCGGUCUGUCGCGUCUGCUGUGAAAAUCCCCGAGGCUCAACCUCGGGCCUGCAGUGGGUACGGGCAGACUAGAGUGCGGUAGGGGAGAAUGGAAUUCCUGGUGUAGCGGUGGAAUGCGCAGAUAUCAGGAGGAACACCGAUGGCGAAGGCAGUUCUCUGGGCCGUAACUGACGCUGAGGAGCGAAAGCGUGGGGAGCGAACAGGAUUAGAUACCCUGGUAGUCCACGCCGUAAACGUUGGGCGCUAGAUGUGGGGCACCAUUCCACGGUUUCCGUGUCGCAGCUAACGCAUUAAUGCGCCCCGCCUGGGGCAGUACGGCCGCAAGGCUAAAA